Molecule: long non-coding RNA, 1853 nt
Organism: Musca domestica (house fly)
Lineage: Eukaryota; Metazoa; Arthropoda; Insecta; Diptera; Muscidae
Exons: 2
Source: RefSeq, a predicted model, not a curated record
CGCAAAACUGUAGUGGCGCUAUCUGGUGGGAAAAUACGAUAACACACCAAAUAUUAUGUAGUCGAUGGUCUAUUAAUUCAUCAAUCUAUGAUUUCAUGUAAGGUAGUAUUUAUUUAAAUGAGUAUGAGUUAUAUUUUAUUUUCUAUAUAACAAUACUUUCUCAUUUUCGGCAAUUGAUCUCAAUAAAAUGUUGCAGGCCGUUCACAUUCGGCGCAAAAGGCAACAAAUAUAUGGGGCCGGGUUUUUUGGCAAAACCUGUCCACAACCACCGCAGAAAUUAUCCCAAUUCUGUUGGUAGUGCAUCCCAUAAUUGGUCCUCAAAUGGAUUUGCUCAGUUUUCUUGGGUUUUUAGUGAGGAUGGUGAGGAUGCUUCGAGAUUUCAAUUUGCUUGUAAUUUCUGCGGGGUGUGUAGUCUGGGUGGCGAUGGGAUCAAAAUGCCGGAAAUGGUUUGAUAGGGUUCGCUACGUACGAAAUUAGGCUCGAACAGGGUUGAGUUAAAGAGUAUUAUAAAGGUAGUGAAUGACAGGGUGACUCAGGCUAAGAAGUGACUAGGCAGCCCUAUGAUUGCUGAGUAGGUGGGAACCUACUACUACUCCGGGGUGAGCUGAAAUGAGAAUUCACAAUAGAAUAAAAAAUGGCUAUUGACAGUUGAAAAGAAAAAGGAAUGAAAAUUGAAAAUGGCUCAGGAAAAUGGUGUUUCGUGGAAAAUGAGCGUCUGGCGGGAUUCACUGAGAAGAGGGGUAUAAAAGGCUGCGAGCAUAAGAAAAGCCAAAGUUAAGAAUAAGACGUUACCGGUGAAACUUAGCUAGAGAGCAGUGAAGAAGUGGAAAAAUUUAAUUUGUGUGUUGCGAUUUUUUUAUUGUGAAUAUUCCGGUGGUGUAUCAAGCUUUUUUGGAAGCACCGAAAAUUGUCCGGUUUUGGUCAGCACAACGGCGGGAAAUUGCCUUUUCUUUUUGGUAACGCAAGGUAGUGGCAAGUUGUCCACAGGAGAAAAAAGCCAAAAAAAGUUACAUUGAGGGUGUGGAGAUUUGAAUUGUAAACUGGCCAGCUGCAACUUUGAGCUUUUUGCUGUGCCUGUUAUUGAUCCCGCCCAGAACGCCGGCAUUGUAAAAGGACCAGUCAACAAGUCCAGCUUCAUUUCAGGGUUUGCCUGGCGUUCAAAAUCUGUUUCCUCCGGAAAGAAGCGUAAACUGGAAGAAGAGAUAAGAAGAAUUAAUCAAUAACGUUAUAAAUCACUGCUCAGGUAAAAGGUGUCUUACCGUUGUGUUGUCCUUGAUAGAUAUAUUUAUAUAUAUAUGUGACGUCCAUAAAAUUUGCUGUCUCCUUUUUUGGAACUAAAAGAAAAGAAAAAAAGAGUUAAUAAUCAUAAAUUUCGAGAAAAAAAAUAUAAUAUUCAGUAUAAAGAUUUAGUAAUAAGAUAGGUUAUAGUUCUUAGGAUUUAAGUAAUAAUCAGUUUGUAAGGGAAAAAUACCGCGUUUAUUUUCAAAGGCUAGGAGGUGUUACAGUAAAAUUAUCUUGAGUCCUUGUGAUUCGAUCUGAUAGUUUAGGCCGUGGAAUUUUAGCGGCAAUUAGGCCGGUUAAGAGAGCUCUUUUAGGUGGCUAGUAAUUUCGUAUAGACGCGUGAAUAUUGCGCGGGAAAAGCAAGGCAAAGGAUAAUAUAUUGGUUUCUACCGAGUAAUUAAAGCCAUAGAUUUAAGAAAGCCCGGUAUUAUUCUUAAUUUGUUUUUUUUUAUACCAUACAGUUUGUCAAUUUUAGUGUAAGAAAAAAAAUAGUAGAGAAAAAAAUUAAGAAAAUAUUUAAAGCUAACUUAUUUUUUUUAAUAAAAUUAAAAAUGAUUCUUUUGUAAACAGUA